UAGGGAAUCUUCGGCAAUGGACGAAAGUCUGACCGAGCAACGCCGCGUGAGUGAAGAAGGUUUUCGGAUCGUAAAACUCUGUUGUUAGAUAAGAACAAGGACGUUAGUAACUGAACGUCCCCUGACGGUAUCUAACCAGAAAGCCACGGCUAACUACGUGCCAGCAGCCGCGGUAAUACGUAGGUGGCAAGCGUUGUCCGGAAUUAUUGGGCGUAAAGCGAGCGCAGGCGGUUUCUUAAGUCUGAUGUGAAAGCCCCCGGCUCAACCGGGGAGGGUCAUUGGAAACUGGGAGAGUUGAGUGCAGAAGAGGAGAGUGGAAUUCCAUGUGUAGCGGUGAAAUGCGUAGAUAUAUGGAGGAACACCAGUGGCGAAGGCGGCUCUCUGGUCUGUAACUGACGCUGAGGCUCGAAAGCGUGGGGAGCAAACAGG
Molecule: ribosomal RNA, 429 nt
Filed under: Gemmatimonadota bacterium
Lineage: Bacteria; Pseudomonadati; Gemmatimonadota
Description: Gemmatimonadetes bacterium partial 16S ribosomal RNA
Rfam family: Bacterial small subunit ribosomal RNA
Source: RNAcentral